This 322-nucleotide ribosomal RNA is filed under the name uncultured eukaryote. Its description in RNAcentral is "partial 18S ribosomal RNA". It matches the Rfam family "Eukaryotic small subunit ribosomal RNA", at positions 1470 to 1796 of the family's 1831-position model. The record is from RNAcentral.
CCCUUAGAUGUUCUGGGCCGCACGCGCGCUACACUGAUGCAUUCAACGAGCCUAUCCUUGACCGACAGGUCCGGGUAAUCUUUGAAUCUGCAUCGUGACGGGGAUAGAUUAUUGCAAUUAUUAAUCUUCAACGAGGAAUGCCUAGUAGGCGCAAGUCAUCAGCUUGCGUCGAUUACGUCCCUGCCCUUUGUACACACCGCCCGUCGCUCCUACCGAUUGAAUGCUCAGGUGAGCCAUUCGGACUUUCAUCAUGCUGGUUUCCAGUUUUGAUGAAGGAAAGUCUUUCGAACCUUAUCAUUUAGAGGAAGGAGAAGUCGUAACA